GAUACCAGGGUUCCAAGUUCAGAAAUCUUCCUGCAAGCAAGCUUGCGUCAGAUUUCCAAACUUGGAACCUGACAAAAACAUGAGUAAGCAGCCAUUUUUCGAAGAAAAAUGAGCGGAUUACGAAUGUUUUUGAGGAUUGUGAGAGUACGAAGUACAGAACAAUCCGGU
RNAcentral lists this small RNA (168 nucleotides) under Oliverpabstia intestinalis. RNAcentral's name for it is "Clostridiales-1 RNA". It matches the Rfam family "Clostridiales-1 RNA". Lineage: Bacteria; Bacillati; Bacillota; Clostridia; Lachnospirales; Lachnospiraceae. The record is from RNAcentral.